RNAcentral lists this ribosomal RNA (497 nucleotides) under uncultured bacterium. RNAcentral describes it as "partial 16S ribosomal RNA". It matches the Rfam family "Bacterial small subunit ribosomal RNA", at positions 28 to 508 of the family's 1533-position model. The record is from RNAcentral.
GAUGAACGCUGGCGGUGUGCCUAAUACAUGCAAGUCGAGCGAACAGACGAGGAGCUUGCUCCUCUGACGUUAGCGGCGGACGGGUGAGUAACACGUGGAUAACCUACCUAUAAGACUGGGAUAACUUCGGGAAACCGGAGCUAAUACCGGAUAAUAUAUUGAACCGCAUGGUUCAAUAGUGAAAGACGGUUUUGCUGUCACUUAUAGAUGGAUCCGCGCCGCAUUAGCUAGUUGGUAAGGUAACGGCUUACCAAGGCAACGAUGCGUAGCGGACCUGAGAGGGUGACCGGCAGCACUGAAACUGAGACAGCCUCAAGCGUCCGGGGGGUGGCAGAAGGAGGGAAUUUUCUCGAGUGGGGAAAAGCCUGAUGCAGCCACGCCGGGUGUGUGAGAAAGGUCUGCGGAAUGUAAAAAAGUUUUUUUGGGAAAAAAAAAAGGGAAAAAAACAUAUCCGCUUAUGAAGGUUCACAAACAGAAAGCCCCCGACAAACUCGGUC